This 869-nucleotide unclassified non-coding RNA is filed under the name Hevea brasiliensis (rubber tree). Lineage: Eukaryota; Viridiplantae; Streptophyta; Magnoliopsida; Malpighiales; Euphorbiaceae. The record is from RNAcentral.
ACUGGACAGACUGGAACAAAUGGAUAAACAAUCGUGGUGGUAUCGGUGUAUCCCCAGAAAAAAGCUGGGAAUCUUGGUGGGAGAAAGAACAUGAGCAUCUUUAUCAUUCAGGGCUCCGUGGCACUGUAGUGGAGAUAUUAUUAUCAUUGCGCUUUUUUAUAUAUCAAUACGGACUUGUAUAUCACCUCACAAUUUUGAACAACGAAACAAGUUUCCUGGUUUACGGUGUGUCUUGGAUCGUCAUUUUCGUGAUAUUAGCAGUAAUGAAGGUUGUGUCCGUCGGAAGGAAGAAAUUCAGUGCUGAUUUUCAGCUUGUGUUUCGUUUGAUCGAAGGCUUCAUUUUCCUCUCCUUUGUUUCCCUACUCAUCAGUUUGAUUGUUAUUCUACACCUGAAAUUUCGUGAUAUUAUUGUUUGCAUUCUCGCGUUCAUGCCUACCGGUUGGGGAAUGCUUAUGAUUGCUCAAGCUUUGAAGCCUUGGAUUCGACGUGGUGGCUUUUGGGGGUCUGUCAGGACACUUGCCCGUGGUUAUGAAAUUAUAAUGGGUUUGCUCUUGUUCACGCCCAUUGCAUUCUUGGCUUGGUUUCCAUUUGUUUCAGAGUUCCAAACCCGAAUGUUGUUCAACCAAGCUUUCAGUAGAGGUCUGCAGAUUUCUCGUAUUCUUGGUGGACCAAAGAAGGAUCGUUCCUCCAGUAACAAAGAGUAGUUUUCAAUGCUACUACUCAUUGGACAGAAGAAUAGAUUCAUGUAAAUAUUAUGUAUCUUAGUUCAUGUACACAAUUUCAGGUAGCUUGUGUAUAUAAUAUAGUUUCUGCAAUUUGUCCAGAUGAUUUGUACAGGAUACAUAUUUUAGUUCAAAAGGAGAGGGUUU